Molecule: long non-coding RNA, 229 nt
Filed under: Ananas comosus (pineapple)
Lineage: Eukaryota; Viridiplantae; Streptophyta; Magnoliopsida; Poales; Bromeliaceae
Description: long non-coding RNA (ACOM_LNC002464)
Source: RNAcentral
UAAAAAUAAUUAAGUAAUACUCUGAGCAUAACAGUUUUCAAAUAAGAACCAAAAUAUCAAUAAAACAAGUUGUUCCAUUACUAAUAUCCAAAACAUACAAAAAGUUUCAUGCAUCUCCAACAUACACAAAUCCAUUACUAAUAUCCAAAACAUACAAAAUGCUUCAUGCAUCUCCAACAUACACAAAUUGUUUAAUUAUACCACUUUUACGACUAGUUAUAAGAUUUCU